Molecule: ribosomal RNA, 203 nt
Filed under: uncultured bacterium
Lineage: Bacteria
Description: partial 16S ribosomal RNA
Rfam family: Bacterial small subunit ribosomal RNA
Source: RNAcentral
UACGUAGGGGGCAAGCGUUGUCCGGAUUUAUUGGGCGUAAAGAGCGUGUAGGCGGCCAGACAGGUCAGCUGUGAAAACUCGAGGCGUCAACCUCGAGACGUCGGUUGAAACCGUCUGGCUAGAGUCCGGAAGAGGAGAGUGGAAUUCCCGGUGUAGCGGUGAAAUGCGCAGAUAGUCGGGAGGAACACCGGGUGGCGAAGGCG